RNA transcript from Odobenus rosmarus divergens (Pacific walrus), 1038 nucleotides. It is a transcript of the gene named olfactory receptor 2AT4-like, with no coding region annotated. The transcript has a single exon. NCBI's taxonomy places the organism in Eukaryota, Metazoa, Chordata, Mammalia, Carnivora, Odobenidae. The record is from RefSeq and is a predicted model, not a curated record.
CUGCCUAUGUCCCAGAAAUCCAGCUCUGCCUCACUAUGGGGGCCACAACCUGUAAUGGAUCAGUGGAUGGAUCACCAGUCUUCUACCUGGUGGGAAUCCCCUCUCUGCCAGAGAGCUUCUUCCUCCCCGUGUUCUUUAUUUUCCUCCUCCUCUACCUGCUCAUCCUGCUGGGAAAUGCCCUGAUCCUGGUGGCUGUGGUGGCAGAGCCCAGCCUCCACAAGCCCAUGUACUUCUUCCUGAUCAACCUCUCCACUCUGGACAUUCUCUUCACCACAACCACUGUCCCCAAGAUGCUGUCCCUGUUCCUGCUUGGAGACCACUUCCUCAGCUUCCCUGCCUGCUUAUUGCAAAUGUACCUCUUCCAAAGCUUCACGUGUUCAGAAGCUUUCAUCCUGGUGGUCAUGGCCUAUGACCGCUAUGUGGCUAUCUGCCGCCCCCUGCACUACCCUGUCCACAUGACCCCACAGACCAAUGCUGCCCUGGCAGCCUAUGCCUGGUUUAUCGCUCUCCUCCUGCCCAUCCCUGCAGUGGUCAAGACCUCCCAGAUGGCGUAUAACAAUAUUGCUCACAUCUACCAUUGUUUCUGUGACCACCUGGCUCUGGUUCAGGCCUCCUGCUCUGACACCACGCCCCAGACCUUCAUGGGCUUCUGCAUCGCCAUGGUGGUAUCCUUCCUGCCCCUUCUCCUGGUGCUUCUCUCCUAUGCCCACAUCCUGGCUUCAGUGCUUCGCAUCAGCUCCCGAGAAGGACGCUCAAAAGCCUUCUCCACCUGCGGCUCCCACCUCCUGGUGGUUGGCACCUACUAUUCAUCCAUUGCCAUAGCCUAUGUGGCCUACAGGGCUGACCUGCCCCUCGACUUCCACAUCAUGGGCAAUGUAGCAUAUGCAAUCCUCACACCAAUCCUCAACCCUCUCAUCUACACGUUGAGAAACAAGGAAGUCAAGGCAGCCAUCACCAAAAUCACAUAUCUCAAGACCCAGUCUUGGAUAAGAGCCCUUGAGCUUUAGAUGCAGCUAAUUCUGCACUCAGGACACAAAA